Molecule: ribosomal RNA, 493 nt
Filed under: uncultured bacterium
Lineage: Bacteria
Description: bacterial SSU rRNA
Rfam family: Bacterial small subunit ribosomal RNA
Source: RNAcentral
AAAGGAAUAGACGGGGACCCGCACAAGCGGUGGAGCAUGUGGUUUAAUUCGACGCAACGCGAGGAACCUUACCAGAUCUUGACAUCCUCAGAAGGAAGUGGAAGCACUUUUGUGCCUUCGGGAACUGAGAGACAGGUGGUGCAUGGCUGUCGACAGCUCGUGUCGUGAGAUGUUGGGUUAAGUCCCGCAACGAGCGCAACCCCUAUCGUUAGUUACCAUCAUUAAGUUGGGGACUCUAGCGAGACUGCCUGCGAAGAGCAGGAGGAAGGUGGGGAUGACGUCAAGUCAUCAUGCCCCUUAUGAUCUGGGCUACACACGUGCUACAAUGGUUGGUACAAAGAGGAGCGAAGCGGUGACGUGGAGCGAAUCUCGAAAGCCAAUCCCAGUUCGGAUUGAAGUCUGCAACUCGACUUCAUGAAGUUGGAAUCGCUAGUAAUCGCAAAUCAGCAAUGUUGCGGUGAAUACGUUCUCGGGUCUUGUACACACCGCCCGU